CCGGGUGGCCCCCUCACCUGGGAUGCCGCGCCCUCACCCCGCCAAGCAUGUGUGGCGGUGGUUGUCGGGGUCGGGGGAGGGGGGGCACGGAGGGGCGGCAGGGAUUUGGCUACAGGAGACGUUCCAGAAAACGGACGGUCUUUAAAUGCCGCUCUCAUGGGUGUGGGUUUCUGUCUGAGGUCUAUGGCCUUUUCAUUUUCUCCUUGGGAAGCAUUGAAUUUCUUCGAAACUCACCAGUUGGAUGGCCCCCAGAAAGGGGAGCGAGCAUUCAGUGUAAGGCACCCAGAACCUCCUGUUCCUGAAACCACAGUUCCUGAACCCGUGUUCUCAUCGCUGACUAUGGGGUCUUUGCUUGGUUUCAUCCCUCUUCUGGCCCUGAUCUUUACCCACUACCUCUCAC
Molecule: long non-coding RNA, 400 nt
Organism: Herpailurus yagouaroundi (jaguarundi)
Lineage: Eukaryota; Metazoa; Chordata; Mammalia; Carnivora; Felidae
Exons: 3
Source: RefSeq, a predicted model, not a curated record